Oncorhynchus nerka (sockeye salmon) is the source of this 358-nucleotide long non-coding RNA. RefSeq lists it as uncharacterized. NCBI's taxonomy places the organism in Eukaryota, Metazoa, Chordata, Actinopteri, Salmoniformes, Salmonidae. The transcript has 3 exons. The record is from RefSeq and is a predicted model, not a curated record.
UGGUAUCCUCUCUCCCCAUUGCUCCAGGUGAGAAGAAGAGGUCAUUGGGGAGGGACUACCACCCUCUGUGUCUGAAGUGUCAACUGUGUCAGAGACAGUUGACCCCGGGACAACAUGCUGAGCAUGAUGAGAAACCCUACUGCACUAACUGUUACAUGAAGACGUUUGGUCCCAGAGUUAGAUACUCAGGUAACAGGAGACUGAUGUCAAACUGUCACAGCUCAGCCUCCUCUUCCUCUUCCUCCUCCUAGGAACCAGUCUAACAAACCAAAAACCAACCAAAAUACAACCUAAUGAGAACUAACAGGCUAUCAACAAGGAUCUAUGUUCAACAAACCUGAUAUUCAGCCAUCAAGCC